Molecule: ribosomal RNA, 486 nt
Filed under: uncultured bacterium
Lineage: Bacteria
Description: partial 16S ribosomal RNA
Rfam family: Bacterial small subunit ribosomal RNA
Source: RNAcentral
AUUGAACGCUGGCGGCAUGCCUUACACAUGCAAGUCGAACGGCAGCACGGGUGCUUGCCCCUGGUGGCGAGUGGCGAACGGGUGAGUAAUACAUCGGAACAUGUCCUGUAGUGGGGGAUAGCCCGGCGAAAGCCGGAUUAAUACCGCAUACGAUCUACGGAUGAAAGCGGGGGACCUUCGGGCCUCGCGCUAUAGGGUUGGCCGGUGGCUGAUUAGCUAGUUGGUGGGGUAAAGGCCUACCAAGGCGACGAGCAGUAGCUGGUCUGAGAGGACGAGCAGCCACACUGGGACUGAGACACGGCCCAGACUCCUACGGGAGGCAGCAGUGGGGAAUUUUGGACAAUGGGCGAAAGCCUGAUCCAGCAAUGCCGCGUGUGUGAAGAAGGCCUUCGGGUUGUAAAGCACUUUUGUCCGGAAAGAAAUCCUUGGCCCUAAUACGGUCGGGGGAUGACGGUACCGGAAGAAUAAGCACCGGCUAACUACGUG